Molecule: ribosomal RNA, 478 nt
Filed under: uncultured Hydrocarboniphaga sp.
Lineage: Bacteria; Pseudomonadati; Pseudomonadota; Gammaproteobacteria; Nevskiales; Nevskiaceae
Description: bacterial SSU rRNA
Rfam family: Bacterial small subunit ribosomal RNA
Source: RNAcentral
UCAGAUUGAACGCUGGCGGCAUGCCUAACACAUGCAAGUCGAACGAGGGUAGCAAUACUCUAGUGGCGGACGGGUGAGGAAUACAUAGGAAUUUGCCCUUAAGUGGGGGAUAACCCGGGGAAAACCCGGAUUAAUACCGCAUGAUCUCGAGAGAGCAAAGCAGGGGACCGCAAGGCCUUGCGCUUUUGGAGAAGCCUAUGUCGGAUUAGCUUGUUGGUGAGGUAAUGGCUCACCAAGGCCGCGAUCCGUAACUGGUCUGAGAGGAUGAUCAGUCACACCGGAACUGAGACACGGUCCGGACUCCUACGGGAGGCAGCAGUGGGGAAUAUUGGACAAUGGGCGAAAGCCUGAUCCAGCAAUGCCGCGUGUGUGAAGAAGGCCUUCGGGUUGUAAAGCACUUUAGGCUGGAAAGAAAAAACUUUUCCUAAUACGAGAAGUCUUGACGGUACCAGCAGAAUAAGCACCGGCUAACUCUGUG